This 506-nucleotide ribosomal RNA is filed under the name uncultured bacterium. RNAcentral's name for it is "partial 16S ribosomal RNA". It matches the Rfam family "Bacterial small subunit ribosomal RNA", at positions 29 to 523 of the family's 1533-position model. The record is from RNAcentral.
AGUGAACGCUGGCGGUAGGCCUAACACAUGCAAGUCGAACGGCAGCACAGAGGAGCUUGCUCCUUGGGUGGCGAGUGGCGGACGGGUGAGGAAUACAUCGGAAUCUACUCUGUAGUGGGGGAUAACGUAGGGAAACUUACGCUAAUACCGCAUAAGACCUACGGGUGAAAGCAGGGGAUCUUCGGACCUUGCGCGAUUGAAUGAGCCGAUGUCGGAUUAGCUAGUUGGCGGGGUAAAGGCCCACCAAGGCGACGAUCCGUAGCUGGUCUGAGAGGAUGAUCAGCCACACUGGAACUGAGACACGGUCCAGACUCCUUCGGGAGGCAGCAGUGGGGAAUAUUGGACAAUGGGCGCGAGCCUGAUCCAGCCAUACCGCGUGGGUGAAGAAGGCCUUCGAGUUGUAAAGCCCUUUUGUUGGGAAAGAAAUCCAUCUGGUUAAUACCCGGGUGGGAUGACGGUACCCAAAGAAUAAGCACCGGCUAACUUCGUGCCAGCAGCCGCGGUAA